RNAcentral lists this transfer RNA (90 nucleotides) under Betaproteobacteria bacterium RIFCSPLOWO2_12_FULL_62_58. RNAcentral's name for it is "tRNA-Ser". It matches the Rfam family "tRNA". From Rfam's summary of the family: Transfer RNA (tRNA) molecules are approximately 80 nucleotides in length. Their secondary structure includes four short double-helical elements and three loops (D, anti-codon, and T loops). RNAcentral also lists the same sequence under 1 other name. The record is from RNAcentral. Lineage: Bacteria; Pseudomonadati; Pseudomonadota; Betaproteobacteria.
GGAGGCGUGGCAGAGUGGUCGAUUGCACCUGACUUGAAAUCAGGCAUGCCCGCAAGGGCAUCGUGGGUUCGAAUCCUACCGCCUCCGCCA